AUUGAACGCUGGCGGCAGGCCUAACACAUGCAAGUCGAGCGGAUGAAGGGAGCUUGCUCCUGGAUUCAGCGGCGGACGGGUGAGUAAUGCCUAGGAAUCUGCCUGGUAGUGGGGGAUAACGUCCGGAAACGGGCGCUAAUACCGCAUACGUCCUGAGGGAGAAAGUGGGGGAUCUUCGGACCUCACGCUAUCAGAUGAGCCUAGGGCGGAUUAGCUAGUUGGUGGGGUAAAGGCCUACCAAGGCGACGAUCCGUAACUGGUCUGAGAGGAUGAUCAGUCACACUGGAACUGAGACACGGUCCAGACUCCUACGGGAGGCAGCAGUGGGGAAUAUUGGACAAUGGGCGAAUGCCUGAUCCAGCCCUGCCGCGUGUGUGAAGAAGGUCUUCGGAUUGUAAAGCACUUUAAGUUGGGAGGAAGGGCAGUAAGUUAAUACCUUGCUGUUUUGACGUUACCAACAGAAUAAGCACCGGCUAACUUCGUG
RNAcentral lists this ribosomal RNA (484 nucleotides) under uncultured bacterium. RNAcentral's name for it is "partial 16S ribosomal RNA". It matches the Rfam family "Bacterial small subunit ribosomal RNA", at positions 30 to 507 of the family's 1533-position model. The record is from RNAcentral.